CCACUCCGAUAAAGAUGACCAGCAGAAACUGAAACUACAUCUAUUCAUCUCCAACAACCUUUCUUGAAGACUGCUGGCAACGUGAUCUCAGAUAUCAGGGUGAAGCCAACUUCAGGAUUGUCCUCAGGAAAUUUUUCUCCAUCAAAAAUUGCCUCAACUUCUGCCUGAAGGGAUUUACUGGCCCAACAAAGAAUCUUCUUCCAGAACCCUGAGGUCAUUCAUUACAGUUAUGAUUCCAGAGUCCUCGUCCUUGUUUAUG
Molecule: non-coding RNA, 259 nt
Organism: Odocoileus virginianus texanus
Lineage: Eukaryota; Metazoa; Chordata; Mammalia; Artiodactyla; Cervidae
Source: RefSeq, a predicted model, not a curated record